RNAcentral lists this long non-coding RNA (477 nucleotides) under Pan troglodytes (chimpanzee). RNAcentral's name for it is "long non-coding RNA NONPTRT001940". The record is from RNAcentral. Lineage: Eukaryota; Metazoa; Chordata; Mammalia; Primates; Hominidae.
UGAGAGGAGGGGGCUUCCACUUCCAUCACCUGGCAAGGGAACCUCCACAGCCCAAGAAUAUUAACAUUUAUCAGGUGCCGGGCAUGGGCCUCAUGUGUUUUAUGUAAUUCAAUCCUCCCAACAAAAGUAUGAGAGCCAGCCCUGCAGCCCAGCCUUCAACAUGAGCAACUCCUGCUCUCUGUAGCUCCAGGCCCAGCCUGGACCUAUCUUUCAGAGCCAUAAUGCUGAGACAGUCCCUGAGUCUUGGAUGAACACGUGAGGAGAGGAUGCUGUUCUGAGAGCUGCUGAUAAUACGUGGAUCCACACCCACAGGCUUGAGCUGCUUGAUUGAAAUUCACGUCAAAAUGGAAUUCUGGUUUGGCUCAACUUGACUACUAUGGAUGAUGAAAAUAAAUCCCUGGGUCACACAAGGAUAGUGAUUGAGUAGAGCUUGCUUGCUGGCACAGGAAUGACAUUUCAACUGGAAUUAAAUUGUCG